AAUGCCCCUUGAGGCGUUGCAGCUCAACUGUGAGUGUUGCAGCUGCGUCAAAAGGUGGCAGAGAGGAAACGGUGGUAGUCUGCACUGAGACUUUACAACACCCGGAGGACUUGGCGUGAUACUAUCCACCAACAAU
Scomber scombrus (Atlantic mackerel) is the source of this 136-nucleotide small nucleolar RNA. RefSeq annotates it as small nucleolar RNA SNORA17. The transcript has a single exon. The record is from RefSeq and is a predicted model, not a curated record. NCBI's taxonomy places the organism in Eukaryota, Metazoa, Chordata, Actinopteri, Scombriformes, Scombridae.